Long non-coding RNA from Oreochromis aureus, 1602 nucleotides. NCBI's taxonomy places the organism in Eukaryota, Metazoa, Chordata, Actinopteri, Cichliformes, Cichlidae. The record is from Ensembl.
GGAAAUAUUGCUCUGUGUAUCGGGGCUGCAGCAACAGGAAAUAGUGAACAGGAACUGUGCAUGCCCAUAUAUGGGAACUGAGUGUGUGCAGAAAGAACACAGAGAGACAGACGAGGAAAUGGGAGCAAAUGAAGCCUUUAAGAAAAAAAUGAAUAUAAUACUAAUUAUAUGGUCAAUACAGGUGGGCGUCUUUCAACUUUGCAACCUUGAGUUCAGCAGCAGAAAAGUAGAUUAAAAGAAUUGGGAGAAUAAGCCAGUUUUUGGCUCGAAAUUGGGCGGCUGGAUCUCUCACUUUGUCCCUGAAGCAGAGAAGAAGUUCAAAGGACAGUCAAUCGCCUGAUGAAGACCGAUAGAACAUUGUGGACUUGAAUACAGCAGGCAAACGGCAGUGCCACUGAUCCAUUAACCCUGAUGACGACUGACGACCAGCAGCAGCAUGUAAGAGUAAUGUAACAUGUACUGUGAAAAUACAGGCUGGGCAGUUGAACAGUGGGAUAAAGAAUUGUGGAAGAGCACUGGACAUUGAGUGAUAUUUUGCCAUGCUGGGACUUAAUCUGAAAGAAAGACUGUAAAGAAACAGAGAAGAAGACAACAGCUGAGUUGAGACUGUGUUUGCUGGAGCUUUGAAGCCCGAACAGGACAUUGUGCAGAGAGGACCAGUGAGAGAUGAAGCUGGACGAGUUUGACUGCGAGAAUAUAGGAUAUAAUUGGAUUGAAAAUUGAAACCUGAACUCAUGAAUUGUUUAGGGAUGUCCACCAUAGCAUAACAAAGAGGCCUGGAAGAGAGUGAACGGACGGCGCUGACAAAAUUACCAAGUACGAAAAUCAGGUGGGCUUUACAGAAUUAUAAUUGAUUACAAUCAGAGACUGAUUGGCGGCAAGUCUCUGUCUAAAAAUGGAUUGUAUCGAUUCAAUCCAGUCAAAAGUAUAGAGAACUAUUUUCCUAAACAGGAAAACGAAAUAAAACGAAUGAUUGAGCUCAUUUUGCUGAUGUGGAGCAUCUGAUGACGUGCGCAGGAGGCUGCAGAUCAGCAAAAAAAUAUCAUGUGUGAAUGCAUGUGAGUGAAUGUGAGUGACUGGACUAAGGUGGGAAUGAAUAAAUGUGGACAGAUUUAUCAUGUGAGGAAAAGAAAGAGGAUGCUUUGUUUUGCUUUUGCCAUAGGCAGGACAAGUGGGAGACUUAAGUCUGGGGAGGCUGAUUUUGGGAUGCUGAUGUUUGCUUUGAGAAAAUUUCUUUUUACGGGGGUUAGAUUAUGGGAUUACAUUAUAUUGUUGGGAGAAUGCUAAAUGCUAAAAGGGAAACAUUGUUUGAUGAGAUUCAAGUUACCAUUAACUGAGGUAACUCAGGAUUAAUAACUGUUCUGUUCAAGUUUAUUUUUGUUAUGACAUAGACGGGAUCAUAAAGGGAGAGUUGAGUAUGAAAUGUAAACUACAGGUUUUGUUUUCAGGAAAUUCCAAGGAUCCAGAGUUCAAUGGAGCAACGAGUUGGAGAAGAUUUGACAUGAUGAUUAAAUUGAUUUUGUUCUUUAAACACAGGUUUUCAGGGCUAAAGCAAAACACCGGAGAGGAGAAUUGCUGAGCUGUUCUGAGAAAUGAAAUGAC